AAGAUCUUAAGUUAAAUAAACUGUGGGCCUUCAAAGCCUGAAAUAGGAUUAUAGUUCCUAGAUCUUG
This 67-nucleotide transfer RNA is filed under the name Batillaria multiformis. RNAcentral describes it as "tRNA-Trp". Lineage: Eukaryota; Metazoa; Mollusca; Gastropoda; Batillariidae. RNAcentral also lists the same sequence under 1 other name. The record is from RNAcentral.